AUUGUGAAAUUCGCCAUAAGAAGCAUGUGAUUGUGUAAUUAAAAAUUUAAAUUAUUAUAAAACUUUAGAAGUAUAAUUGAAAGAUCCUUAAUGUUUGAUGCUUCUGCAAUAUUUAAUUGAGUCAGUCAGCCAUUCAGCCAGCGAGAAGCAGCAACAACAGUAGCAGCAGCAGCGGCGACCGAGACAAAUGUCAGCUUAUGAAUUAAAAUGCCUUAUGAUGCUGAUUUUUUUAUCAGCAAUCUGUUCCCGCUGAAGUUCCUCUUCAUCCUGUCGGACAGACUAUAAAGCUGACUGAUAAUUGCGCAUGAUCUGCGCUUUGUGAACAAUUUGUUUUUGUCUCUGACACACGAUGAGCUUUACGAUGUUCCAUUCAUAUUCCAACCCCAAAUUCAAAUGGUUUAAUAUCUUCUUCGUUGGGAAUUGAUUACACGGAAACACUUGUCACGGGUGUAAGUGAAGCUUAUUUCUUGCCACUUUAUGUCACUAACUCGAGGCGGUGUUAUGUGGCGCGAGGGGAGAAGGGAAGAUUGUGACAGCUUUAAGGUACUUGGUGUCAUCUCUCUCUCUUUGGGUCUCUUGUCGAAUCACUUGAGCAGCCUUGUAAAUGCAAACCACUUGAUAAUGAGCAUGUCGCUAUAACAGCAAGGACGGACGUCACGCCCCCCGUUUGCUGCUGACCUCUGGGCGGCCAUUUAAUCACUAAUUACAUGCACCGUUGCCAGGGCGAACAAUCAGCCAGCAGUCACCUGGGGUCAUAAUUAGUGUAAGCAAAUGUAGAAAGAAGAAAUCUUAGACCUGGCUAAAGACGAAAACAAAGAAAAUAGAAAACGUGCCAUGAAAAAAAAAGAAAACAAAAAGAGAAAAAGAAAAAAUCCAAAUAGAGACAGCGAGCGAGAGACCCAAAGACUCAAACUGUGCACAAAGUUGCGGCCAGGACAAGUAGAUGUCUCAGUCUUCUGUGUGUUUGUUGCUGCUCAGCUUCUUCACAGCGCAUUUGCUGGCCAAAAGGUGUGAAAAUACAAACAGUUAGCUUCUUUGGCUAUGGCUUUGGCUGCAUCCUUGGUGUUUAUCGUGUUAUUUCUGUUUUGCCUUUCUUUUUCUGCUUUGUGUUUCUUUUUUUUUUUUGCCAUCUCCCAUGCGAAACUGUAAUUAAAAUUAAUUGGAGGCUUCUCUUGUGGUCAAGCUGUGAGCUGUGCUGCUGAGCUGAGCUGUGAACGGAGCGAAGCUGUGGCGCUUAAUUAACGCGUCCCGCAUCAAAUUUACUAAUGAAUUUUGCCCUUUAAAAUUCAUAGAGCAAAGCUUAAAGACAAUUCAGUUGUGUCGACUUUGUUGUUUACGUUUGCUGCCAUGGCUUCAAACUUAAGCGAAAGUAUCCCAAAAGCGCACUAAACAAAACAGUCAAUAAAUUGUUUACAUGGCAAAUUGAUCCCAAGCGUGCAUUAGAUGAGAAAAAAUGAGUUGACUUUGAGUGAAAAUAACAACAAGUCGGAGAAACGUUGGGGCCCAGCCACUGCUCAACUAGUGCUAAAAACAACUCUGCAGUCAAGGCAUUUUAGUUGUGGCGUUGCUUUGGACGUUUGGGACAUUCAUAAAUAUUGGGAUCUAGACUAAAGAAGCACAGCAAAAGUAAUGUUUUAAAUCUACAUCAGCUGAUGGAGUAAAUAACUUGAAGUGUUGCAGCAAGACA
Long non-coding RNA from Drosophila sulfurigaster albostrigata, 1687 nucleotides. RefSeq lists it as uncharacterized. NCBI's taxonomy places the organism in Eukaryota, Metazoa, Arthropoda, Insecta, Diptera, Drosophilidae. The record is from RefSeq and is a predicted model, not a curated record. The transcript has 3 exons.